Molecule: long non-coding RNA, 916 nt
Organism: Cajanus cajan (pigeon pea)
Lineage: Eukaryota; Viridiplantae; Streptophyta; Magnoliopsida; Fabales; Fabaceae
Source: RefSeq, a predicted model, not a curated record
AUAACAAAAAAGGGGGAGAUGAAAGUAACCGUUACUGCUAAGUGCUCACUAGAUUUUCCUCCUCUAUUAUUGCUUUUCCAAAUAAAAGAAAUGAGUUUUACUCCAUGCUGUUGACGGAUAGGCUGGGCUUGCAAUUCCAUGCAUUAUUCUCGCAACUGCUCUUGGUGUAAAUCGAGCCUGUGAAUUGCUUUGCAGAAACACCUGGUGAUACCCAAAGGAAAAGGAGUACUGUUGGCUAAUUGGAGGUUUAAGGCAGGGGCAAGUAUCGGAAACAUCUGUGAUUUGUCCUUCGGACUACUAUCCAGAAUCUAAACUUGAGACCAGGGAAAGAGCUCAGAUAUCCAAGACCAUUUGUCCCCAUUUUUGGGAUUUUAACCUAAAUAAUAAUCUUUGGAGGAAAAAUCGAUUGGUUCUGAUGCAGCCAGACUUCAAAGGCUUGAAGCAUAAGACACAACGGAAAAGCAAGUUACCAUGCAACAACAGCACAUUGAGAUUUAGUGAACCAUUAUGCGUGUGUUUAGGUUUCAUGUUGUAAUCACGUUGAAACACUAACGUAAUUUUAGGCAAUUUUUCUUAUGUUUGGUUUUACGUUGAGAAAUAUUUCAAGUCCAAAAUUGAUUGAGUUCAAGUAUCUUUAGAUAGCUUUUGCCGUUGGAUAAAAAAUUUCACCCACAAGUUUUGCUACUAAUAUGAUUUUAUAGUAAAUGCAUUUAAAUAUAAAUCACAUCACUUCAAAAUCAAUUUCAUUCAAAAUCAAUUUGGUUAUCGCUCAUCCAAACACACUAAUAGUGAACUUCUAUUGUCAUAAACCAGUUCAUGCGGCUUACUGACAGGGAGUUAGGAACCAUGGUGCCGUCAUUGUACUUUUAAUGGAUAAAAAAAAAACAGUUCAUGAAAAUUAAUGCAGAAAACCAUA